Molecule: long non-coding RNA, 764 nt
Organism: Frieseomelitta varia
Lineage: Eukaryota; Metazoa; Arthropoda; Insecta; Hymenoptera; Apidae
Exons: 2
Source: RefSeq, a predicted model, not a curated record
GACGGACGUUUAAGUUGGCACUACUGUACGUAGAUACGUAUGUACGUUUCACGAUCUCUCGUUGUUGUCUUUUUUUUUUUCUUUUACGCGUUCUCUCUCUCUCUCUCUCUCUCUCUCUCUCUCUCUCUCUCUCUCUCUCUCUCUAUCGAUAUCGACCUAUGCGUAUCGUGUAGACAACAAAUACUGGACAAUAAUUAAUAAUCACCUGUCUUGUACUCGUACACACCACUUCUCGCAGUCAGGAUUACGAGGCCGAUUAUCGACCGAUCGAUCUUACGCGCCAUUGCAUUUCGUUUGACGCGCUCGCGAUAGUACUCAGUCGAUAAUUUCCUCGUGAUUCGUGCAAACUUCCUCCGUAUACAUAUUACGAUCUGAGCACGAACAUCCGUCGACCGAGCAUGACGAACGGUACCGACGGUUGUUCGUCGAGUUUCGCGCGUGUGCACUUUCGACUGCAGCCGCGAUCGCGCGUCCCGAAUCGUCGUUUUUUCCAUUUUCGGGGGAAAAACGAGUGGAAACGGUGAGGAAACACGUGUUCUCGGCACGAGAGAGAGCACGUGCAACGUUCGAGUAGCGCGAACGUAAACAUUGCCGCGAACGAGAUGAGAAUCGAGUCUCGGGAAAAGAGGAAGAGAGAAAGAAAGAGACGGUCGACAGCUGCAGUUUCGAUAACGAGUCAAUCGCGUGAAGAACCGCGUCGCGCCCCCUGUCCUGCAUCCAGCUGCUCGAACAGAAAUGAUUUUUAGGCACAAACGCCAAGAAAA